CCUACGGGAGGCUGCAGUGGGGAAUAUUGGGCAAUGGGCGCAAGCCUGACCCAGCAACGCCGCGUGAAGGAAGAAGGCCUUCGGGUUGUAAACUUCUUUUAAGAGGGAAGAGCAGAAGACGGUACCUCUUGAAUAAGCCACGGCUAACUCCGUGCCAGCAGCCCCGGUAAUACGUAGGUGGCAGGCGUUGUCCGGAUUUCCUGGGUGUAAAGGGCGUAGAGCCGGGCUGACAAGUGAGGUGUGAAAUUCCGGGGCUCAACCCCGGACCUGCAUUUGAAACUGGUGGUCUUGAGUGGGGGAGAGGCAGGCGGAAUUCGUGGUGUAGCGGUGAAAUGCGUAGAUAUUAGGAGGAACACCAGUGGCGAAGGCGGCCUGCUGGACCACAACUGACGGUGAGGCGCGAAAGCGUGGGGAGCGAACAGGAUUAGAUACCCGAGUAGUC
This 442-nucleotide ribosomal RNA is filed under the name uncultured bacterium. RNAcentral describes it as "partial 16S ribosomal RNA". It matches the Rfam family "Bacterial small subunit ribosomal RNA", at positions 338 to 795 of the family's 1533-position model. The record is from RNAcentral.